GUCCCAGACUCCUACGGGAGGCAGCAGUGAGGAAUAUUGGUCAAUGGCCGAGAGGCUGAACCAGCCAAGUCGCGUGAGGGAAGACGGUCCUAUGGAUUUUAAACCUCUUUAGGCGGGGAGCAAUGCCGGGCACGCGUGUCCGGAGGGAGAGUACCCGCAGAAUAAGCAUCGGCUAACUCCGUGCCAGCAGCCGCGGUAAUACGGAGGAUGCGAGCGUUAUCCGGAUUUAUUGGGUUUAAAGGGUGCGUAGGCGGACAGUCAAGUCAGCGGUAAAAAUGCGGUGCUCAACGCCGUACAGCCGUUGAAACUGGCAGUCUUGAGUGGGCGAGAAGUGUGCGGAAUGCGUGGUGUAGCGGUGAAAUGCAUAGAUAUCACGCAGAACUCCGAUUGCGAAGGCAGCAUACCGGCGCCCGACUGACGCUGAGGCACGAAAGCGUGGGUAUCGAACAGGAUUAGAUACCCGGGUAAC
RNAcentral lists this ribosomal RNA (469 nucleotides) under uncultured bacterium. RNAcentral's name for it is "bacterial SSU rRNA". It matches the Rfam family "Bacterial small subunit ribosomal RNA", at positions 328 to 795 of the family's 1533-position model. The record is from RNAcentral.